AUUGAACGCUGGCGGCAGGCCUAACACAUGCAAGUCGGACGGUAGCACAGAGGAGCUUGCUCCUUGGGUGACGAGUGGCGGACGGGUGAGUAAUGUCUGGGGAUCUGCCCGAUAGAGGGGGAUAACCACUGGAAACGGUGGCUAAUACCGCAUAACGUCGCAAGACCAAAGAGGGGGACCUUCGGGCCUCUCACUAUCUGAUGAACCCAGAUGGGAUUAGCUAGUAGGCGGGGUAAUGGCCCACCUAGGCGACGAUCCCUAGCUGGUCUGAGAGGAUGACCAGCCACACUGGAACUGAGACACGGGCCAGACUCCUACGGGAGGCAGCAGUGGGGAAUAUUGCACAAUGGGCGCAAGCCUGAUGCAGCCAUGCCGCGUGUAUGAAGAAGGCCUUCGGGUUGUAAAGUACUUUCAGCGGGGAGGAAGGCGGUGAGGUUAAUAACCUUGCCGAUUGACGUUGCCCGCAGAAGAAGCACCGGCUAACUCCGUGCCAGCCGCCGCAGUAA
RNAcentral lists this ribosomal RNA (506 nucleotides) under uncultured bacterium. Its description in RNAcentral is "partial 16S ribosomal RNA". It matches the Rfam family "Bacterial small subunit ribosomal RNA", at positions 29 to 523 of the family's 1533-position model. The record is from RNAcentral.